CUACGGGGGGCACCAGUGAGGAAUAUUGCACAAUGGGGGGAGCCCUGAUGCAGCAACGCCGCGUGGAGGAUGACGCAUUUCGGUGUGUAAACUCCUUUUAUAUGUCAAGAAAAUGACGGUAGCAUAUGAAUAAGCACCGGCUAACUCCGUGCCAGGCAGCCGCGGUAAUACGGAGGGUGCAAGCGUUACUCGGAAUCACUGGGCGUAAAGGACGCGUAGGCGGGUUGGAAAGUCAGGUGUGAAAUCCUACAGCUUAACUGUAGAACUGCACUUGAAACUUCUAAUCUAGAGUAUGGGAGGGGGAGAUGGAAUUAGUGGUGUAGGGGUAAAAUCCGUAGAUAUCACUAGGAAUACCUAAAGCGAAGGCGAUCUCCUGGAACAUUACUGACGCUAAGGCGUGAAAGCGUGGGGAGCAAACAGGAUUAGAUACCCCUGUAGUC
RNAcentral lists this ribosomal RNA (440 nucleotides) under uncultured bacterium. Its description in RNAcentral is "partial 16S ribosomal RNA". It matches the Rfam family "Bacterial small subunit ribosomal RNA", at positions 339 to 795 of the family's 1533-position model. The record is from RNAcentral.